This 434-nucleotide ribosomal RNA is filed under the name uncultured bacterium. Its description in RNAcentral is "partial 16S rRNA". The record is from RNAcentral.
GCACGGAGUUAGCCGGGGCUUAUUCUCCCGGUACAGUCAUUAUCUUCCCGGGUAAAAGAGCUUUACAACCCUAAGGCCUUCAUCGCUCACGCGGCAUUGCUGGAUCAGGCUUGCGCCCAUUGUCCAAUAUUCCCCACUGCUGCCUCCCGUAGGAGUCUGGGCCGUGUCUCAGUCCCAGUGUGGCUGAUCAUCCUCUCAGACCAGCUAUGGAUCGUCGCCUUGGUAGGCCUUUACCCCACCAACUAGCUAAUCCAACGCGGGCUCAUCCUUUGGCGAUAAAUCUUUGGUCCGAAGACAUCAUACGGUAUUAGCACAAGUUUCCCUGAGUUAUUCCGUACCAAAGGGCAGAUUCCCACGCGUUACGCACCCGUGCGCCACUAACCCCGAAAGGUUCGUUCGACUUGCAUGUGUUAGGCAUGCCGCCAGCGUUCGUU